GUGUCAGCCGCCGCGGUAAUACGGGGGGAGCAAGCGUUGUCCGGAUUUAUUGGGCGUAAAGGGCGCGUAGGUGGACUUGUAAGUGAGGGGUGAAAUCCCGAGGCUUAACUUCGGAAUUGCCUUUCAUACUGCAGGUCUCGAGUACGAGAGGGGAAGAUGGAAUUCCUGGUGUAGCGGUGGAAUGCGUAGAUAUCAGGAAGAACACCAGUGGCGAAGGCGGUCUUCUGGCUCGUAACUGACACUGAGGCGCGAAAGCGUGGGGAGCAAACAGGAUUAGAUACCCUGGUAGUCCACGCCGUAAACUAUGAACACUAGGUGUUGGAGGAUUCGACCCCUUCAGUGCCGCAGCUAACGCGUUAAGUGUUCCGCCUGGGGAGUACGGUCGCAAGGCUGAA
Molecule: ribosomal RNA, 395 nt
Filed under: uncultured bacterium
Lineage: Bacteria
Description: bacterial SSU rRNA
Rfam family: Bacterial small subunit ribosomal RNA
Source: RNAcentral